This 90-nucleotide transfer RNA is filed under the name Pantoea agglomerans. Its description in RNAcentral is "tRNA-Ser". It matches the Rfam family "tRNA". From Rfam's summary of the family: Transfer RNA (tRNA) molecules are approximately 80 nucleotides in length. Their secondary structure includes four short double-helical elements and three loops (D, anti-codon, and T loops). Further hydrogen bonds mediate the characteristic L-shaped molecular structure. tRNAs have two regions of fundamental functional importance: the anti-codon, which is responsible for specific mRNA codon recognition, and the 3' end, to which the tRNAs corresponding amino acid is attached (by aminoacyl-tRNA synthetases). tRNAs cope with the degeneracy of the genetic code in two manners: having more than one tRNA (with a specific anti-codon) for a particular amino acid; and 'wobble' base-pairing, i.e. permitting non-standard base-pairing at the 3rd anti-codon position. Lineage: Bacteria; Pseudomonadati; Pseudomonadota; Gammaproteobacteria; Enterobacterales; Erwiniaceae. The record is from RNAcentral.
GGAGGGGUGGCCGAGCGGCUUAAGGCAGCGGUCUUGAAAACCGCCGAUGGGAAACCAUCCGAGAGUUCGAAUCUCUCUCCUCCUCCGCCA